This 695-nucleotide ribosomal RNA is filed under the name uncultured bacterium. RNAcentral describes it as "bacterial SSU rRNA". It matches the Rfam family "Bacterial small subunit ribosomal RNA", at positions 66 to 728 of the family's 1533-position model. The record is from RNAcentral.
ACGAGAGGACAAGAGAAGCUUGCUUCUUUUGAAAUCGAGUGGCAAACGGGUGAGUAACACGUAAACAACCUGCCUUCAGGAUGGGGACAACAGACGGAAACGACUGCUAAUACCGAAUACGCUUGGGAGACCGCAUGAUCUUCCAAGGAAAGGGUGGCCUCUACCUGUAAGCUAUCGCCUGAAGAGGGGUUUGCGUCUGAUUAGGCAGUUGGUGAGGUAACGGCCCACCAAACCUACGAUCAGUAGCCGGUCUGAGAGGAUGAACGGCCACACUGGAACUGAGACACGGUCCAGACUCCUACGGGAGGCAGCAGUGGGGAAUCUUCCGCAAUGGGCGAAAGCCUGACGGAGCAACGCCGCGUGAGUGAUGACGGCCUUCGGGUUGUAAAGCUCUGUGAUCGGGGACGAACGGUCCGUAAGCUAAUACCUUAUGGAAGUGACGGUACCCGAAUAGCAAGCCACGGCUAACUACGUGCCAGCAGCCGCGGUAAUACGUAGGUGGCAAGCGUUGUCCGGAAUUAUUGGGCGUAAAGCGCGCGCAGGCGGCUUUCUAAGUCCAUCUUAAAAGUGCGGGGCUUAACCCCGUGAUGGGAUGGAAACUGGAAAGCUGGAGUAUCGGAGAGGAAAGUGGAAUUCCUAGUGUAGCGGUGAAAUGCGUAGAGAUUAGGAAGAACACCGGUGGCGAAGGCGACUUU